CGUCGACGGAGAUGACGGAUACAUCGCUGAGGUCACCUACUCCGGUGAGGCUCAGUUCCCCGACUCCGACGAAUCCUUCGAGUCCCGUGAGGCUCCCAGGAGGUACUAUGCCGCCCCCGACUCCAACGAGUCCAAGUAAAUCUGGAAACGUGAUCAUUAUUGGUCGACCGAAACCGAACGAAACGAUUUUAGUAAUGUCUCGAUAUUUAUACAUAUCUAAUUUAUUCGAAUAAAUCAUAAGCGUCAUUUA
This is a long non-coding RNA of Macrobrachium nipponense, 250 nucleotides long. RefSeq lists it as uncharacterized. The transcript is spliced from 2 exons. The record is from RefSeq and is a predicted model, not a curated record. Lineage: Eukaryota; Metazoa; Arthropoda; Malacostraca; Decapoda; Palaemonidae.